This 440-nucleotide ribosomal RNA is filed under the name uncultured bacterium. RNAcentral's name for it is "partial 16S ribosomal RNA". It matches the Rfam family "Bacterial small subunit ribosomal RNA", at positions 338 to 795 of the family's 1533-position model. The record is from RNAcentral.
CCUACGGGUGGCAGCAGUGGGGAAUAUUGGACAAUGGGGGAAACCCUGAACCAGCGACGCCGCGUGAGGGAAGAAGGAUUUAGGUAUGUAAAGCCCUUUUAGCAGGGAAGCAAAUGACGGUACCUGACGAAUAAGCACCGGCUAACUACGGGCCAGCAGCCGCGGUAAUACGUAGGGGGCAAGCGUUAUCCGGAUUUACUGGGUGUAAAGGGAGCGUAGGCGGGAUCGGAAGUCUGGAGUGAAAUGCUGGGGCUCAACCCCAGAACUGCUUUUGAAACUGUGAAUCUAGAGUGUAGGAGAGGUAAGCGGAAUUCCUGGUGUAGCGGUGAAAUGCGUAGAUAUCAAGAGGAAUACCGAUUGCGAAGGCGGCAUACUGGAAUAUAACUGACGCUCAGGCACGAAGGCGUGGGGAGCAAACAGGAUUAGAUACCCGAGUAGUC